RNAcentral lists this ribosomal RNA (253 nucleotides) under uncultured bacterium. RNAcentral's name for it is "partial 16S ribosomal RNA". It matches the Rfam family "Bacterial small subunit ribosomal RNA", at positions 524 to 776 of the family's 1533-position model. The record is from RNAcentral.
UACGUAGGGUGCGAGCGUUGUCCGGAAUUAUUGGGCGUAAAGAGCUCGUAGGCGGUUUGUCGCGUCGGCCGUGAAAUCUCCACGCUUAACGUGGAGCGUGCGGUCGAUACGGGCAGACUUGAGUUCGGUAGGGGAGACUGGAAUUCCUGGGGUAGCGGUGAAAUGCGCAGAUAUCAGGAGGACCACCGGUGGCGAAGGCGGGUCUCUGGGCCGAUACUGACGCUGAGGAAUGAAAGCGUGGGGAGCGAACAGG